AUUGAACGCUGGCGGCAGGCCUAACACAUGCAAGUCGAACGAGUGGCGGACGGGUGAGUACUGUCUGGGAAACUGCCCGAUGGAGGGGGAUAACUACUGGCAACGGUAGCUAAUACCGCAUACCAUCGGAUGUGCCCCGAUGGGAUUGGCGAGUAGGGGGGGUAACGGCUCACCUAGGCGAAGAUCCCUAGCUGGUCUGAGAGGAGGACCAGCCACACUGGAACUGAGACACGGUCCAGACUCCUACGGGAGGCAGCAGUGGGGAAUAGUGCACAAUGGGCGCAAGCCUGAUGCAGCCAUGCCGCGGGUAUGAAGAAGGCCUUCGGGUUGUAAAGUACGUUCAGCGAGGAGGCGUUACUCGCAGAAGAAGCACCGGCUAACUCCGUGCCAGCAGCCGCGGUAAUAC
This 406-nucleotide ribosomal RNA is filed under the name uncultured bacterium. RNAcentral describes it as "partial 16S ribosomal RNA". It matches the Rfam family "Bacterial small subunit ribosomal RNA", at positions 29 to 526 of the family's 1533-position model. The record is from RNAcentral.